CCAGAGAGUUUCGGUGGAUUCCCUAAGAUCACAUACCCAUUAUGUGGUGGAGAGGGAAUAUGAACCAGUGCUGGCUUGCUAUGCCUCUUUCCAUAUGGGGUCAGACAUAGAUGUGGUGUCUUAUAAUGUGAGGGAGGUCUACUUGGCAGAAAUAUCCUGCAGACCCUAUAUGCCAGUUUCUUAUUUAUUUAAACAAAGCCCCAUAUGAGCAUUUCUGAUAAGCAGUUUGUUUACACACUAAUUCCACAGAGGUUAAAUAUAACCCUAAUGUUUCUUUGUUGCUACUCUGUUUCCAGUAUUGAAUUAUUACCACAAGGUACCAACCAUAUAUGCAUACUUAAUAGGGUAUUUUGUCAAAACUAUGCAUGAAGGUCAUUUGUUUGAGAUGUCAGAACAUUUUCCCGUGAGAAGAUCUCAUUGGGCAUUGAAACAGAACCACAUGCUCUUCAGACCAGCAACCGCGACUACCAAAUACUCCUCUGUCAACUCUACUUGAGUAAGAACGCUUUCAAUUAAGGCCUAAGUGUCAACAUGCCUUUAAAAAAAAUCGUGGUGACACAAAAUCUUUCUUUUUAGCACCCAACAGAAUCCCUUCAAAGCCUCGUGGUCUGACACCCUAUGCUACGUGACUUGUGACCCAUCCAUUUGUCAUGUUCUUCGGGAAUGUGGCUAAGGGGCUAAGAUGUGACUUGAAAAGAAAGGUAGAACAAGAUCAUCUCAAAUUUAUUAUCAAGGAAUAGUUCAGAAAACGACUUCAGACCACAGAGACAGCAGAACAGAUGGUCCGGCAUGGAUAGAGCAUCAGACACUCACAGACUGUGCCAACAAGAGCCAUCGAGUCAAAACAGCCAAAGGAAGGAGGGUCAUGGAAUGGGUUCUCUCACACCAAACUGAUGCCCAGAGGCCCUCAGCAUGAAUAACAAAGGCAACCAGACCCACAAGCCAUACUGAGUGGAUACAAAACCUAUACCUAGGCUGACAUCCCAAAUGUGUGUGGCAAGUUAGAUGAUGAUGGCACAAAAGACAGAACACCUUGCUUCUGGCCAUUGUCAGCUCUUGGAAGAGAGCACACUUUUAGAGGAGCAGCUGCAAGGAGCCUGAGAACAAAACUGGAAAUGUCUGUUAUGAAAGCCUUCACAGGAAAUUCUGCAAGUGGCAACGUGGGUCCAUUCCGUGUGUGUCACUAGAGCUGGCGCAAGCCCAUGGCCAUGGUGAGGCAGCGUUUCCACUGGAACUAAUCUGAUACCUGCACCAGCUCUUGCAACUGUGCAGUGUUCCCACUGCAAACUACGGAUGGGGUAAAAGACUGCUCACCUCCUAUUUCUCAUCUAAUCUCACACACUCUGUUUGAUGAGGCUAUGGAGAAACAGGUCUUCUCAUACACUAAAGGUGGGAGUACAAACAAUUCAAGCCCUGUGCAGGACAAUUAGGCAAUACCUAUCAAAAUUAUACAUGAUUUUUCCUGCUGACCCAGCAAUUCCACUUCUGGGAAUAAUUGACAGAUAUAGGUGCAUAUGUACAAAAUGAUGGAAAGCUCUCUGGUAUAUAUUAGUAAGUGAUAAAACAAGGUGUAAAAUAGUGUAUAUAUGGCUACUACCUUUUGUUUUAAAAAUGGGGGAAAAUGGUGGAGCUUGCGGUGAGCCGAGAUCGUGCCACUGCACUCCAGCCUGGGCGACAGAGCGAGACUCCGUCUCAAAAAAAAAACAGGGUGGGGUGGGGGGGAAAUAAUAGUACAUACUCAUAUUUACCUGUAUCUAUAUAAAACACACUAUCAAGGAUUCACAAGAAACUAAUACAAAUGAUCACCUUAUAGAUGGUAUGUAUUGGGGGAUACUGAGGUGAGCAGGGUAUAAGUGGGGCAAGACUUUUCAGUGUAAACUUCUUUUAAAUUUUAUUUUGAUUUUUGAAUAAUGUAAAUUAACUGUCAAAUAAUUAAAUUAAAAAUAACCAAUUUAUUAACAAAACA
This 1966-nucleotide long non-coding RNA is filed under the name Homo sapiens (human). RNAcentral describes it as "PREDICTED lncRNA (TCONS_00036478)". Lineage: Eukaryota; Metazoa; Chordata; Mammalia; Primates; Hominidae. The record is from RNAcentral.